This 498-nucleotide ribosomal RNA is filed under the name uncultured bacterium. Its description in RNAcentral is "partial 16S ribosomal RNA". It matches the Rfam family "Bacterial small subunit ribosomal RNA", at positions 30 to 523 of the family's 1533-position model. The record is from RNAcentral.
AUUGAACGCUGGCGGCGUGCCUUACACAUGCAAGUCGAACGGUAACAGGCCUUCGGAUGCUGACGAGUGGCGAACGGGUGAGUAAUACAUCGGAACGUGCCUAGUAGGGGGGGAUAACUACUCGAAAGAGUGGCUAAUACCGCAUGAGAUCUACGGAUGAAAGCAGGGGAUCGCAAGACCUUGUGCUACUAGAGCGGACGAUGGCAGAUUAGGUAGUUGGUGGGAUAAAAGCUUACCAAGCCGACGAUCUGUAGCUGGUCUGGGAGGACGAUCAGCCACAAUGGGACUGAGACACGGCCCAGACUCCUACGGGAGGCAGCAGUGGGGAAUUUUGGACAAUGGACGAAAGCCUGAUCCAGCAAUGCCGCGUGCAGGAUGAAGGCCUUCGGGUUGUAAACUGCUUUUGUACGGAACGAAAAGCCCCGGGUUAAUACCCUGGGGUCAUGACGGUACCGUAAGAAUAAGCACCGGCUAACUACGUGCCAGCCGCCGCGGUAA